This 43-nucleotide small RNA is filed under the name Plasmodium falciparum 3D7. Its description in RNAcentral is "Pfa-mtR5727". Lineage: Eukaryota; Apicomplexa; Aconoidasida; Haemosporida; Plasmodiidae. The record is from RNAcentral.
AGCCGCCAAAAACUAUAACGAUAUUAUUACCGUACAAGCCGUU